UACGAAGGGGGGCUAGCGUUGUUCGGAUUUACUGGGCGUAAAGCGCACGUAGGCGGAUCGAUCAGUCAGGGGUGAAAUCCCAGGGCUCAACCCUGGAACUGCCUUUGAUACUGUCGAUCUGGAGUAUGGAAGAGGUGAGUGGAAUUCCGAGUGUAGAGGUGAAAUUCGUAGAUAUUCGGAGGAACACCAGUGGCGAAGGCGGCUCACUGGUCCAUUACUGACGCUGAGGUGCGAAAGCGUGGGGAGCAAACAGG
This 254-nucleotide ribosomal RNA is filed under the name uncultured bacterium. RNAcentral's name for it is "partial 16S ribosomal RNA". It matches the Rfam family "Bacterial small subunit ribosomal RNA", at positions 524 to 776 of the family's 1533-position model. The record is from RNAcentral.